GGGGGAAGUGGGCGGAGCGAGGCCUGGGUAGGGUGAGCGGCCUCCGAAGCGGAGCGGGGCUCUGAGGAGACACUUUUUCUUCCUCCCUCCUUCCCUCCUCUCCUCCUGCCUUCCCUUCCCCUUUCCUCCCCUCUCUCCUCCUUCUCCCCUCGGUCAGCCGGAGCCUGCUGGGGCGAGCGGUUGGUAUUGCAGGCGCUUACUCUCCGGGGCCGCCCGGCGAGUAGCUGGCCGGGGAAGGAGGCAGGAACCGCGAUGGCGCCUCAGAAGCACGGCGGUGGGGGAGGGGGCGGCUCGGGGCCCAGCGCGGGGUCCGGGGGAGGCGGCUUCGGGGGUUCGGCGGCGACGGCUUCGAGCGGCAAAUCCGGCGGCGGGGGCUGUGGAGGCGGUGGCAGUUACUCGGCCUCCUCCUCCUCCGCGGCGUUACCGGUGAAGAAGUCGAAAAUGGAGCACGUCCAGGCUGACCACGAGCUUUUCCUCCAGGCCUUUGAGAAGCCAACACAGAUCUAUAGAUUUCUUUGAACUCGGAAUCUCAUAGCACCAAUAUUUUUGCACAGAACUCUUACUUACAUGUCUCAUCGAAACUCCAGAACAAACAUCAAAAGGAAAACAUUUAAAGUUGAUGAUAUGUUAUCAAAAGUAGAGAAAAUGAAAGGAGAGCAAGAAUCUCAUAGCUUGUCAGCUCAUUUGCAGCUUACAUUUUUGGUUUCUUCCACAAAAAUGAUAAGCCAUCACCAAACUCAGAAAAUGAACAAAAUUCUGUUACCCUGGAAGUCCUGCUUGUGAAAGUUUGCCACAAAAAAAGAAAGGAUGUAUGUUGUCCAAUAAGGCAAGUUCCCACAGAGUGACUCGUCCAAGAAGAAGAGAGUUUAAUGGAAUGAUUAAUGGAGAAACCAUGAAAAUAUUGAUGUCAGUGAAGAGCUUCCAGCCAGAAGAAAAUGAAAUCGUGAGGAUGGGGAAAAGACAUUUGUUGCACAAAUGACAGUAUUUGAUAAAAACAGGUAAUGUUGAUGAACAAGCGAGGCUCCCACAAUGUUCUGGAAAUGUUUUCAUUCUGAAGCAGAAUAUAAUUAUUUAUAUUGAUUAUUUC
This 1087-nucleotide long non-coding RNA is filed under the name Homo sapiens (human). RNAcentral describes it as "non-protein coding lnc-ATAD5-9:15". Lineage: Eukaryota; Metazoa; Chordata; Mammalia; Primates; Hominidae. The record is from RNAcentral.